CUACGGGAGGCAGCAGUGGGGAAUAUUGCACAAUGGGCGCAAGCCUGAUGCAGCAACGCCGCGUGAGGGACGACGGCCUUCGGGUUGUAAACCUCUUUUAGCAGGGAAGAAGCGAAAGUGACGGUACCUGCAGAAAAAGCGCCGGCUAACUACGUGCCAGCAGCCGCGGUAAUACGUAGGGCGCAAGCGUUAUCCGGAAUUAUUGGGCGUAAAGAGCUCGUAGGCGGUUUGUCGCGUCUGCUGUGAAAUCCCGAGGCUCAACCUCGGGUCUGCAGUGGGUACGGGCAGACUAGAGUGCGGUAGGGGAGAUUGGAAUUCCUGGUGUAGCGGUGGAAUGCGCAGAUAUCAGGAGGAACACCGAUGGCGAAGGCAGAUCUCUGGGCCGUAACUGACGCUGAGGAGCGAAAGGGUGGGGAGCAAACAGGCUUAGAUACCCUGGUAGUCCACCCCGUAAACGUUGGGAACUAGUUGUGGGGUCCAUUCCACGGAUUCCGUGACGCAGCUAACGCAUUAAGUUCCCCGCCUGGGGAGUACGGCCGCAAGGCUAAAACUCAAAGGAAUUGACGGGGACCCGCACAAGCGGCGGAGCAUGCGGAUUAAUUCGAUGCAACGCGAAGAACCUUACCAAGGCUUGACAUAUACGAGAACGGGCCAGAAAUGGUCAACUCUUUGGACACUCGUAAACAGGUGGUGCAUGGUUGUCGUCAGCUCGUGUCGUGAGAUGUUGGGUUAAGUCCCGCAACGAGCGCAACCCUCGUUCUAUGUUGCCAGCACGUAAUGGUGGGAACUCAUGGGAUACUGCCGGGGUCAACUCGGAGGAAGGUGGGGAUGACGUCAAAUCAUCAUGCCCCUUAUGUCUUGGGCUUCACGCAUGCUACAAUGGCCGGUACAAAGGGCUGCAAUACCGUAAGGUGGAGCGAAUCCCAAAAAGCCGGUCCCAGUUCGGAUUGAGGUCUGCAACUCGACCUCAUGAAGUCGGAGUCGCUAGUAAUCGCAGAUCAGCAACGCUGCGGUGAAUACGUUCCCGGGUCUUGUACACACCGCCCGUCAAGUCAUGAAAGUCGGUAACACCUGAAGCCGGUGGCCCAACCC
RNAcentral lists this ribosomal RNA (1092 nucleotides) under Microbacterium flavum. RNAcentral's name for it is "bacterial SSU rRNA". It matches the Rfam family "Bacterial small subunit ribosomal RNA", at positions 339 to 1441 of the family's 1533-position model. The record is from RNAcentral. Lineage: Bacteria; Bacillati; Actinomycetota; Actinomycetes; Micrococcales; Microbacteriaceae.